Molecule: ribosomal RNA, 460 nt
Filed under: uncultured bacterium
Lineage: Bacteria
Description: partial 16S ribosomal RNA
Rfam family: Bacterial small subunit ribosomal RNA
Source: RNAcentral
CCUACGGGUGGCAGCAGUGAGGAAUAUUGGUCAAUGGACGCAAGUCUGAACCAGCCAUGCCGCGUGCAGGAAGACGGCUCUAUGAGUUGUAAACUGCUUUUGUACGAGGGUAAACGCAGAUACGCGUAUCUGUCUGAAAGUAUCGUACGAAUAAGGAUCGGCUAACUCCGUGCCAGCAGCCGCGGUAAUAAGGAGGAUUCAAGCGUUAUCCGGAUUUAUUGGGUUUAAAGGGUGCGUAGGCGGUCGGAUAAGUUAGAGGUGAAAUCCCGAGGCUCAACUUCGUAAUUGCCUCUGAUACUGUUAGGCUAGAGAGUAGUUGCGGUAGGCGGAAUGUAUGGUGUAGCGGUGACAUGCUUAGAGAUCAUACAGAACACCGAUUGCGAAGGCAGCUUACCAAGCUACUUCUGACGUUGAGGCACGAAAGCGUGGGGAGCAAACAGGAUUAGAUACCCGAGUAGUC